Molecule: long non-coding RNA, 378 nt
Filed under: Androctonus crassicauda
Lineage: Eukaryota; Metazoa; Arthropoda; Arachnida; Scorpiones; Buthidae
Source: RNAcentral
AAAUUAUAUCACUACUUAUUUUUUAACGUUAAAAUUAAUAUAUUUCAGAAACCAGUCCAACUCUCUAACAUUAAUUUAGAGUAUUUUAGAAUACUUGAACUCCGUUUGGAUGUUUGCUUGCCAAGUACAUGCACUGAAGAUGAUUUGUACAAUAUUAUGAAAUUAUUUAAUUUCGGAACUCAGUUGCCUAUUACUUUCAGGGCGGAUUUCUGUGCAACAAAAGACAGGAAAAUAAAAUACACAACAGCUGAAAUUGUUAGCAUAGUAUUCUUUAGCGUCUUUUUCGUUUGGGUGACAUUAGCAACAACUGUCGACGUUAUGCGAAGAUUGAAUAUCAUACCAAAUAAUGAAACCAACUUCUUUAAGAAUAUUAUCUCC